RNAcentral lists this ribosomal RNA (498 nucleotides) under uncultured bacterium. RNAcentral's name for it is "bacterial SSU rRNA". It matches the Rfam family "Bacterial small subunit ribosomal RNA", at positions 28 to 528 of the family's 1533-position model. The record is from RNAcentral.
GAUGAACGCUAGCGACAGGCCUAACACAUGCAAGUCGAGGGGCAGCACAUGAGUAGCAAUACGAUGGUGGCGACCGGCGCACGGGUGAGUAACACGUAUGCAACCUACCUGUAAGAGGGGAAUAACCCGGAGAAAUUCGGACUAACACCGCAUAAUACCGAUUAACUGCAUGGUUGAUCGGUUAAAUAUUUAUAGCUUACAGAUGGGCAUGCGUAACAUUAGAUAGUUGGUGAGGUAACGGCUCACCAAGUCAACGAUGUUUAGGGGUUCUGAGAGGAAGGUCCCCCACACUGGUACUGAGACACGGACCAGACUCCUACGGGAGGCAGCAGUGAGGAAUAUGGUCAAUGGGCGAGAGCCUGAACCAGCCAAGUCGCGUGAAGGAAGAGGUUCUAUGGAUUGUAAACUUCUUUGUAAGGGAAUAAAAGGUUAACGUGUAACUUAUUGUAUGUACUUACGAUAAGAUCGGUAACUCGUGCCAGCAGCCGCGUAAUACGU